GACGAACGCUGGCGGCGUGCUUAACACAUGCAAGUCGUACGGUAAGGCCCUUUCGGGGGUACACGAGUGGCGCACGGGUGAGUAACACGUGAGUAACCUGCCCACAACUUUGGGAUAACGCUACGAAACUGGUGCUAAUACUGGAUAUGUGCUCCUGCUGCAUGGUGGGGGUUGGAAAGCUCCGGCGGUUGUGGAUGGACUCGCGGCCUAUCAGCUUGUUGGUGGGGUAGUGGCCUACCAAGGCGGCGACGGGUAGCCGGCCUGAGAGGGUGACCGGCCACAUUGGGACUGAGAUACGGCCCAGACUCCUACGGGAGGCAGCAGUGGGGAAUAUUGCACAAUGGGCGCAAGCCUGAUGCAGCAACGCCGCGUGCGGGAUGACGGCCUUCGGGUUGUAAACCGCUUUCAGCAGGGACGAAGCUUUUUGUGACGGUACCUGCAGAAGAAGCACCGGCUAACUACGUG
Molecule: ribosomal RNA, 465 nt
Filed under: uncultured bacterium
Lineage: Bacteria
Description: partial 16S ribosomal RNA
Rfam family: Bacterial small subunit ribosomal RNA
Source: RNAcentral